Molecule: long non-coding RNA, 400 nt
Organism: Stegodyphus dumicola
Lineage: Eukaryota; Metazoa; Arthropoda; Arachnida; Araneae; Eresidae
Source: RefSeq, a predicted model, not a curated record
UGUAGAUCAGCAAAUCCAAAAAAAAAAAAAAAAAAAAAAAAAAAAAAAAAAAAAAAAAUGUGUAAAGAAGUUGUGGUUAUGAUAAGAAUGUAGCAUGUGUACAAGCUAGAUAAUGAAUGAUGAUCAUGUGUGGUAUGGGUCAAUUUAGUGUAAUAAAGCGCUAAUUGCACGAUUUUGGUAGAGUUGGCUGGUCCAUGUACCAGAAGAAUUGAAUUGUACUAUGCAGGGUCUCAAUGUAGCAUGUGUACAAGCUAGAUAAUGAAUGAUGAUCAUGUGUGGUAUGGGUCAAUUUAGUGUAAUAAAGCGCUAAUUGCACGAUUUUGGUAGAGUUGGCUGGUCCAUAUACCAGAAGAAUUGAAUUGUACUAUGCGGGGUCUCGUUGAUUACUAGGUAGCAGAUU